UUGAUCUCAAAUCAGGUAGGACUACCCGCUGAACUUAAGCAUAUCAAUAAGCGGAGGAAAAGAAACUAACAAGGAUUCCCCUAGUAACUGCGAGUGAAGCGGGAAGAGCUCAAAUUUAAAAUCUGGCGUGCCUCUGGCCGUCCGAGUUGUAGUCUGG
RNAcentral lists this ribosomal RNA (157 nucleotides) under uncultured fungus. RNAcentral's name for it is "partial 28S ribosomal RNA". It matches the Rfam family "Eukaryotic large subunit ribosomal RNA", at positions 1 to 153 of the family's 3401-position model. The record is from RNAcentral. Lineage: Eukaryota; Fungi.